This 1012-nucleotide ribosomal RNA is filed under the name uncultured organism. RNAcentral describes it as "bacterial SSU rRNA". It matches the Rfam family "Bacterial small subunit ribosomal RNA", at positions 25 to 1018 of the family's 1533-position model. The record is from RNAcentral.
CAGAACUAACGCUGGCGGCGCGUCUUAACAUGCAAGUCGUACGAGAACCCCUGUGCUUGCAUAGGGGGGAGAGUGGCGAACGGGUGAGUAACACGUGGAUAAUCUGCCUUCAGGAUUGGGAUAACUGUGGGAAACCGCAGCUAAUACCGAAUAAGAUGGUAGCUGCACAUGCAGCAGCCAUUAAAGGUGGGGACCUUCGGGCCUACCACCUGAAGAUGAGUCCGCGUCCCAUUAGCUUGUUGGUGGGGUAACGGCCUACCAAGGCUGCGAUGGGUAGCCGGCCUGAGAGGGUGAACGGCCACAUUGGGACUGAGAUACGGCCCAGACUUCUACGGAAGGCAGCAGUUAAGAAUCUUGCGCAAUGGGCGAAAGCCUGACGCAGCGACGCCGCGUGGACGAUGAAGGCCUUCGGGUUGUAAAGUCCGGUAAACAGGGAAGAAUAAGUUUCGUUGAAUAAGCGGAACGAUGACGGUACCUGUCUAAAGCCCCGGCUAACUACGUGCCAGCAGCCGCGGUAAUACGUAUGGGGCGAGCGUUGUACGGAAUUAUUGGGCAUAAAGGGCGUCUAGGCGGGGGACUAAGUUAGGUGUGAAAGCCAUGGGCUCAACCCGUGAAUUGCAUCUAAAACUGGUUCUCUUGAGUUCGGGAGAGGAGUGCGGAAUUCCUGGUGUAGCGGUGAAAUGCGUAGAUAUCAGGAAGAACACCAGUGGCGAAGGCGGCACUCUGGCCUAGAACUGACGCUGAAGCGCGAAAGCGUGGGGAGCGAACGGGAUUAGAUACCCCGGUAGUCCACGCCGUAAACGUUGUGUACUAGGUGUUAGUGCUUUAAGCACUAGUGCCGACGCUAACGCAUUAAGUACACCGCCUGGGGAGUACGGCCGCAAGGCUUAAACUCAAAGAAAUUGACGGGGGCCCGCACAAGCGGUGGAGCAUGUGGUUUAAUUCGAUGAUACGCGAAGAACCUUACCAGGGCUUGAACUGUUUCUGACAGGUGUAGAGAUACACCCUCCUU